Molecule: long non-coding RNA, 1174 nt
Filed under: Ursus americanus (American black bear)
Lineage: Eukaryota; Metazoa; Chordata; Mammalia; Carnivora; Ursidae
Description: lncRNA (ENSUAMG00000018639.1)
Source: RNAcentral
GUUUACGGCCCGACUGCGCAGGCGUGCUCACCUGGAGCGCUCCGCCCGGCUGGGCGCCCGCAGGCCCCUCCCCCGGGCGCGGUCUCAAGGCGGCCCAGUGGCCGUGCAGGUGAGGCGGCCUCCGGCCGGGGGUCGGGCUAGCUCUGCCACCGACUCCGCCUCCGUCUCCGCCUCCCUGCUACCCCCGGGGCAGAACCCGUAAACCGAAGCCGCGGCAGGUUUACAGUCUGCAUCGCAGAGAUGAGAGCCCUUCAGGUCGGGCCCACCUGUCUCACCAGCCUCUCUGGACUCAGCCUCCUGGGUUUGUCCACAACAGCCUCUGUCAGUGCUGCUCAGGGCGCCGGUCGGCACAGAGGCGAGGCAGAACGGAAGUCCUCUGCAUUGCAGCGCACGCUGUCGAGAUGAUUCCACGGCUCUGUUGUGUUUGUGUUGCCAUCGGGGCUCUCGUUCAUUGGCGCCCAGAGAAAGUCCGGACUGUUCCCUGGGUGUUGGAUGCCUGUGUCCGGAUCCAGCGCUCGUCUCCCUGCUCUCGGCUCCUCUGGUUCCCUGUGCUCCGUGCCCCUGCGUCCUCGGGCUUCCGCUGGAGAUGAGGCCGAGGCCGAGAGUUCUAUGAGAUCAGCAACCAUUCCUGUUGUUUAUAUUGCUAACGGCACGUGGACCGCGGCUUGACAUGGCUAUUCUGAACAUUUCUCCUAAGUUAACCGGCCGUCCAGCCCACCUGGCAGCACCACAGAAUGGCAAAACAGUGUCUUUAUCUUUCUCAUUCAUCACCUUGUCUGCCUCUUCUCUCAUUGCACCUCCUGGGGGCCCACUACAUACCCUAGCAAUGCCUAGGAGGGUACCGGGUCCGCGCCCGGAGUGCACGUGACGAAUGACCACAGUACAGGGCUACCGCAUGUACAUGAAGAAGCGCCAUGGGAGGAAAGAGGAGGGAGACAGUACCCAUCCCGUGGCUCCCCGAGGAGGUGGCUCCAGAGACAACCUUCAGCACCUGUUCACAGAGAUAGAACACAGAAUGAAGGAACGAGACAAGAAAGCCAGAGGAGGGAGCAGUGAACCGAGUGUCGGGUGGCAGGAAGCAGACGGACAGGCAGCAGCGGGCCUUCCCUUAGUCUUCCGUGCAGUCACAGCCCCCAGCUGGGGCCCUGUCCAGCGCCCUUGGGAAUUCGAAUGA